ACUUCAGAUAGCCCAGUUGGUAGAGCAUGAGGCGCUUAACCUCAGAACUGCAGGUUCGAGUCCCACGUUGGGUA
Podarcis lilfordi (Lilford's wall lizard) is the source of this 74-nucleotide non-coding RNA. The record is from the annotation of a GenBank genome assembly. NCBI's taxonomy places the organism in Eukaryota, Metazoa, Chordata, Lepidosauria, Squamata, Lacertidae.